UGUGUGUGGUGUGUGUGGUGUGUGUGUGCUGUGUGUUCGGGUGAAGGAGAAGAAGAAGACAAUUGCUUCUUUAUAAUUAACACCCUCAAAACAUUAUUCACUUCAGCAGUUUGACAGUCAGGCUCGGUUUUACUUAAUAAGUACAAAGAAAUUUUAAUCUUUCAGUUUCGACCAUAUUUGGUCAUCGAAAGCUCUACCGAACUGUAAUCUCUAGCAGAUAGCAGUCGGAUUUUAUUUUCUACCUUCCAGGUGUCAGAUUGACAUGAAACUUUAAAUCUAGCCUCAUAAAAAUAAUUCCGACAUAUUCACCAGUUUUCAUAAUUUUCUGACACUGUGCAUUUUUUGCUAAAAUAUCAGUCCUGUUUCGCACAGAAAAUUCUAAAUCUUCUGUUUUUGUUCCGAUUUCAGCACAAGUCAUUUCUGACUUAUAUUUUACUUCUCUAAAUCCAAUAAAAAUAGUAUCUCAUACUAUUUUUAUUUAUUUUUUACUUUUAUAUCAAAAUCUGAUAUGUUACAUUCUCUACCCUUUAAAAGAAUUUUGUCCGCAAAAUUCAAACCGCGCCUCAAUUCAGCUCCUCGAGCAAUUGA
This 588-nucleotide long non-coding RNA is filed under the name Ananas comosus (pineapple). RNAcentral describes it as "long non-coding RNA (ACOM_LNC042540)". Lineage: Eukaryota; Viridiplantae; Streptophyta; Magnoliopsida; Poales; Bromeliaceae. The record is from RNAcentral.